This 494-nucleotide ribosomal RNA is filed under the name uncultured bacterium. RNAcentral describes it as "partial 16S ribosomal RNA". It matches the Rfam family "Bacterial small subunit ribosomal RNA", at positions 28 to 507 of the family's 1533-position model. The record is from RNAcentral.
GACGAACGCUGGCGGCAGGCUUAACACAUGCAAGUCGAACGGAAACGCCUGCUUUACUUUGUGGAGUGCGGGUACUCGCGUGGCCAACGCGUGAGUAAAACGUAAGUUAUCUGCCCCCAACUUCGGUAUAAGCCUGGGAAACUGGGUCUAAUUAUUGAUGGGACUGCAGGGUGGUGCCUGUGGUGGAUAACGAUUUUGUAGUGGCUGGCGACGAGAUCGCGGCCUAUCAGCUUGUUGGUGGGGUAAUGGCCUACCAAGGCGGCGACGGGUGGGCGGGGUGAGAGGGUGGACGGGCACAGUGGGAAUGAGAGGCGGCACAGGCACCGACGGACGGCAGCAGCGGGGAAGAUUGGACGAUGUGGGGAAGCUUGAGGCAGCGACGAAGCGCGGACGAUGCCGGGCUUCGGGUAGUAAACUCCUGUUGGGAGCGAGGAAGCCUCCUGGCUGGAAGGGUAGUGACGGUAGUGGGAGAAGAAGCACCGGCUAACUACGUG